This 731-nucleotide unclassified non-coding RNA is filed under the name Hevea brasiliensis (rubber tree). The record is from RNAcentral. Lineage: Eukaryota; Viridiplantae; Streptophyta; Magnoliopsida; Malpighiales; Euphorbiaceae.
GCAAAUCUUCCAAGGUGAAGCCUGAAGGACAGAGUAUAAAUAUCAGCUGGAAAAGGAAACUUUAAAACCCCAUCAACUUCAAACCACCAUAUUUGCUGCAAAUAGGCCACAACAUGGAAUCUAGAUUCUUCAGUGGGAACCCAAUUCCAAUAUCUCCGGUCCUCAAUCCCCGUUAUCGCCAUUCCUUUGGCCGAUAUCGACAUACAAACCCUUCCCGUCGUUCUAUCCAACCAUACCUCCUUAUUGCCAUCGUCAAAUGGAACGGGACGCGAGAGUUGGGCGAAGAUAUCCUUCUUGGACAAGCUCUGGUACCGUUCGGCAGGGAACAAAUCGAGCAGAUCUUGAUAAUUAGGCGGCAACUUCUUCUCCCAAACGGAAUCAGAUGAUGCGGCGCCUCUAAAAGCACGGUUCAGUCGAGCAAGAUUACAAAUCUCUGGUGGCGUCAAGUAGGUAAACACGCACGCCACACAACUUUCCGGUAUAUCUCCGAGACCCGGACCCAUGGUGGCUCCCUCCGUUAGGUUAGAUAGCGACGCACCCAUGGUCGGCUCCCCCUUUCCUGCGGCUUCACUGAAUAUAAUAGUAUAGUCGUAUUAGUUAAAUCUAGGAAAUUGCGUGAAUGCCUGUGUUGUCAGUGUGUGUUAAGGUCAUCUGAGGAGUGUUUGGCAGACGAGAAAGUGGAGAAGUAGAAGAAGAGAGAAGCAUGUAUUUGCGUGUUUCAUUUUAUAUUC